UAUUAUAUUAGUACUAGAAAAAUUGGAAAAUGGGUGGCAGGGGAUUGACCACGGUAGGAACCGGAAGUGACGUGUUUGUAGCGGCAGUACCACUAAGAGCCACCAAGGGACCACCGCAGUUGGUGAUGUCAGCUGCCUACUCUCUAUAUCUUUCUUGGGAUGUACAACACUUCAUGGUCCUUUCCACUUCCCCUGCUCCUCUUCCUUCUCAGGUAUUGGUUUUUGAUUUUCAACCGGAAGAUCCGGAAAAUAUAUAUGCAGCACUUGCAGCUUUGUCGGGCAGGAAAAUACCUGGAGUUCUGCAAACGAGAAAGAUGAAGAAAUUGCCAAAAACAAGAUGUUGGAGGGUAGGAUCUUGUAAUGUGGAUGUUGUCGAGGCAAUGCACACGUUUAAUAGCAAUUGGGAUACUGAUCUGAUAGUUGGUCAGCAUGAUUGUCGCCAUUACACAAAUGGAUUGGUGGAGUGCCUGACCGGUGAGAAGGAUGUGCUGGAUCGUUUGAAAAGAAGUCAAAAGAGCUUCACUUGAUCUACCACUGAAUUUCAUAUUUUUCUUAUGUGAGAUACUCAGGUACGCUCCCCUUGGUACGAAUGAGUGUUUCUACUAUUGCUGGUAUGAAUUCAGUGGGAUUAAAGGCAUAUAUUCUUUAAGAGCACGAAAGCACUUGAUUUCUCAUGGUUUUGAGAUAACGAUGGGACUUCAAAGUCCCCUGAUGGCCGAUUGGACAAUGGAGAGAAUGCUUAGAGAUGAUAAAUGAGAAUACAACGUUUCUUUAAAUCCAUUUAUGUAUGAUGUUAUCAAAGGACGGGAUCCAAGGUGGGAAUCUGUGCUUUUCAAGUUAAAAGCUAUGUCUAUUAGGAAAUUCUGAGGUUAGGUUCGUAUGCAGCCUACCCCACGUCCCACCUAGGCCCCGUCUUGAAGUCAUAUUGCAGAAGAUGAAAAAUCCGCUUAAGCACCAAGAUAUAAGAAUCAUGUUACAUGUUAACAAA
Erigeron canadensis is the source of this 988-nucleotide RNA transcript. RefSeq lists it as uncharacterized. The transcript has 7 exons. The record is from RefSeq and is a predicted model, not a curated record. NCBI's taxonomy places the organism in Eukaryota, Viridiplantae, Streptophyta, Magnoliopsida, Asterales, Asteraceae.